AAACUAAAUCAGUCUAAUCGCGCUACCAUGCAGUCGAACGGUAACAGGAAGCAGCUUGCUGCUUUGCUGACGAGUGGCGGACGGGUGAGUAAUGUCUGGGAAACUGCCUGAUGGAGGGGGAUAACUACUGGAAACGGUAGCUAAUACCGCACAACGUCGCAAGACCAAAGAGGGGGACCUUCGGGCCUCUUGCCAUCGGAUGUGCCCAGAUGGGAUUAGCUAGUAGGUGGGGUAACGGCUCACCUAGGCGACGAUCCCUAGUUGGUCUGAGAGGAUGACCUACCACACUGGAACUGAGACACGGUCCAGACUCCUACGGGAGGCCCCUGUGGGGAAUAUUGCACAGGGGGCACAAGCCUGGUGGAACUUUGUCGGGUGUAUGAAGAAGGGAUUGGGGUUGUAAAGUACUUUCAACGAAGCCGAAGGCGACAGGGUUUGUGCGGCCCCCCCUCAAUUUUUCUGGGUUUAAACCUUGCUGCCUUCUUCCCGGCGGGGUCCU
RNAcentral lists this ribosomal RNA (499 nucleotides) under Enterobacter cloacae. RNAcentral's name for it is "bacterial SSU rRNA". It matches the Rfam family "Bacterial small subunit ribosomal RNA", at positions 29 to 530 of the family's 1533-position model. The record is from RNAcentral. Lineage: Bacteria; Pseudomonadati; Pseudomonadota; Gammaproteobacteria; Enterobacterales; Enterobacteriaceae.